RNAcentral lists this ribosomal RNA (273 nucleotides) under uncultured bacterium. Its description in RNAcentral is "partial 16S ribosomal RNA". It matches the Rfam family "Bacterial small subunit ribosomal RNA", at positions 524 to 796 of the family's 1533-position model. The record is from RNAcentral.
UACGGAGGGUGCAAGCGUUAUCCGGAUUCACUGGGUUUAAAGGGUGUGUAGGCGGGCUGUUAAGUCAGUGGUGAAAUCUCCAGGCUCAACCUGGAAACUGCCAUUGAUACUAUCAGUCUUGAAUUUUGUUGAGGUAGGCGGAAUAUGUCAUGUAGCGGUGAAAUGCUUAGAUAUGACAUAGAACACCGAUUGCGAAGGCAGCUUACUAAACAAAUAUUGACGCUGAGGCACGAAAGCGUGGGGAUCAAACAGGAUUAGAAACCCCCGUAGUCC